GACGAACGCUGGCGGCGUGCUUAACACAUGCAAGUCGAACGGAAAGGCCCUGCUUUUGUGGGGUGCUCGAGUGGCGAACGGGUGAGUAACACGUGAGUAACCUGCCCUUGACUUUGGGAUAACUUCAGGAAACUGGGGCUAAUACCGGAUAGGAGCUCCUGCUGCAUGGUGGGGGUUGGAAAGUUUCGGCGGUUGGGGAUGGACUCGCGGCUUAUCAGCUUGUUGGUGGGGUAGUGGCUUACCAAGGCUUUGACGGGUAGCCGGCCUGAGAGGGUGACCGGCUACAUUGGGACUGAGAUACGGCCCAGACUCCUACGGGAGGCAGCAGUGGGGAAUAUUGCACAAUGGGCGGAAGCCUGAUGCAGCAACGCCGCGUGCGGGAUGACGGCCUUCGGGUUGUAAACCGCUAUCGCCUGUGGCGAAGCGUGAGUGACGGUAAUGGGUAAAGAAGCACCGGCUAACUACGUG
RNAcentral lists this ribosomal RNA (468 nucleotides) under uncultured bacterium. Its description in RNAcentral is "partial 16S ribosomal RNA". It matches the Rfam family "Bacterial small subunit ribosomal RNA", at positions 28 to 507 of the family's 1533-position model. The record is from RNAcentral.